CCCUUAGAUGUUCUGAGAUGCACGCGCGUUACACUGAUUCGUUCAACGAGUUUAUGACCUUGCCUGAUGAGGUGGGGGAAUCUUUUCAAAUCGCAUCGUGAUGGGGAUAGAGUAUUGUAACUGUUAGUCUUCAACGAGGAAUUCCUAGUAAGUACGUGUCAUCAGCUCGUACUGAUUAUGUCCCUGCCCUUUGUACACACCGCCCGUCGCUCCUACCGAUUGAGUGCUCAGGUGAAUAGUAUGGACUGCAUCAGUGUUCGGUCUCCGAAUGUUGACGCGAGAAAUUCUGUGAAUCUUAUUGCUUAGAGGAAGGAGAANUCGUANCA
This 326-nucleotide ribosomal RNA is filed under the name uncultured eukaryote. RNAcentral describes it as "partial 18S ribosomal RNA". It matches the Rfam family "Eukaryotic small subunit ribosomal RNA", at positions 1470 to 1796 of the family's 1831-position model. The record is from RNAcentral.